AUGCGUACCUUCAUGUUAGUAAAGUCAUUAGCACAUGGGAUGGUACAUCAGUUACAAAAAAACAUUGUCAUUUAUCGUACACACAUUAGCGAUUUUCACAUGUUCAUCCGCUACAGAAUAGGCCUCUCGACGACAUACAAAUUUUCACAUGUUGAGACACUACAGAAAAAGCAUAUGACAGCCAAACAAUCAACAAUGUGCACAUCAUCAUCUGUUCUCGCCAAGAGCCCAUUGUGCGUGGAACUAACGACCACUGAAACUGAAGUGCACCACUUAGUAAUCUGCAUUGCCAAUCAAUAG
This 300-nucleotide ribosomal RNA is filed under the name Triticum aestivum (bread wheat). RNAcentral describes it as "partial small subunit ribosomal RNA". Lineage: Eukaryota; Viridiplantae; Streptophyta; Magnoliopsida; Poales; Poaceae. The record is from RNAcentral.